UACGUAGGGGGCGAGCGUUGUCCGGAAUGACUGGGCGUAAAGAGCGCGUAGGCGGCCGUACAAGUCUUGCGUGAAAGUCCCGCUUUCAAGGUGGGAAUUGCGGGGGAAACUGUAUGGCUUGAGUGCGGAAGGGGUAAGUGGAAUUCCCAGUGUAGCGGUGAAAUGCGUAGAGAUUGGGAGGAACACCAGUGGCGAAGGCGACUUACUGGGCCGUAACUGACGCUGAGGCGCGAAAGCGUGGGGAGCGAACAGG
This 253-nucleotide ribosomal RNA is filed under the name uncultured prokaryote. RNAcentral describes it as "partial 16S ribosomal RNA". It matches the Rfam family "Bacterial small subunit ribosomal RNA", at positions 524 to 776 of the family's 1533-position model. The record is from RNAcentral.